CGGCAGGUAUUAUUACUUUUUGGAGACUGA
This 30-nucleotide non-coding RNA is filed under the name Mus musculus (house mouse). The record is from RNAcentral. Lineage: Eukaryota; Metazoa; Chordata; Mammalia; Rodentia; Muridae.